This 19-nucleotide small nuclear RNA is filed under the name Arabidopsis thaliana (thale cress). RNAcentral describes it as "snRNA_10800". Lineage: Eukaryota; Viridiplantae; Streptophyta; Magnoliopsida; Brassicales; Brassicaceae. The record is from RNAcentral.
CGGCUCUUCCUAUCAUUGU